UACAGAGGUCUCAAGCGUUGUUCGGAUUCAUUGGGCGUAAAGGGUGCGUAGGUGGCGCGCUAAGUCAGGUGUGAAAUUUCGGAGCUUAACUCCGAAACUGCAUUUGAUACUGGCGUGCUUGAGGACUGGAGAGGAGACUGGAAUUCACGGUGUAGCAGUGAAAUGCGUAGAGAUCGUGAGGAAGACCAGCGGCGAAGGCGGGUCUCUGGACAGUUCCUGACACUGAGGCACGAAGGCCAGGGGAGCAAACGGG
This 253-nucleotide ribosomal RNA is filed under the name uncultured bacterium. RNAcentral describes it as "partial 16S ribosomal RNA". It matches the Rfam family "Bacterial small subunit ribosomal RNA", at positions 524 to 776 of the family's 1533-position model. The record is from RNAcentral.